RNAcentral lists this ribosomal RNA (253 nucleotides) under uncultured bacterium. Its description in RNAcentral is "partial 16S ribosomal RNA". It matches the Rfam family "Bacterial small subunit ribosomal RNA", at positions 524 to 776 of the family's 1533-position model. The record is from RNAcentral.
UACAGAGGGGGCAAGCGUUAUUCGGAAUUAUUGGGCGUAAAGGGCGCGUAGGCGGCUUGGCAAGUGGAUGGUGAAAUCCCUCGGCUUAACCGAGGAACUGCCGUCCAAACUGCUUCGCUUGAGACCGGGAGAGGUGAGUGGAAUUCCCAGUGUAGCGGUGAAAUGCGUAGAUAUUGGGAGGAACACCAGUGGCGAAGGCGGCUCACUGGACCGGUACUGACGCUGAUGCGCGAAAGUGUGGGGAUCAAACAGG